RNAcentral lists this ribosomal RNA (484 nucleotides) under uncultured bacterium. RNAcentral's name for it is "partial 16S ribosomal RNA". It matches the Rfam family "Bacterial small subunit ribosomal RNA", at positions 29 to 507 of the family's 1533-position model. The record is from RNAcentral.
AUUGAACGCUGGCGGCAUGCUUUACACAUGCAAGUCGAACGGAAGCGCGGGCUUCGGCCUGGCGGCGAGUGGCGAACGGGUGAGUAAUGAAUCGGAACGUGCCCAGUAGUGGGGGAUAGCCCGGCGAAAGCCGGAUUAAUACCGCAUACGACCUGAGGGUGAAAGCGGGGGACCGAAAGGCCUCGCGCUAUUGGAGCGGCCGAUGUCGGAUUAGCUAGUUGGUGGGGUAAAGGCUUACCAAGGCGACGAUCCGUAGCUGGUCUGAGAGGACGACCAGCCACACUGGGACUGAGACACGGCCCAGACUCCUACGGGAGGCAGCAGUGGGGAAUUUUGGACAAUGGGGGCAACCCUGAUCCAGCCAUGCCGCGUGCGGGAAGAAGGCCUUCGGGUUGUAAACCGCUUUUGUUCGGGAAGAAAUCCUCUGGGCUAAUAUCCCGGGGGGAUGACGGUACCGGAAGAAUAAGCACCGGCUAACUACGUG